Molecule: long non-coding RNA, 953 nt
Organism: Micropterus dolomieu (smallmouth bass)
Lineage: Eukaryota; Metazoa; Chordata; Actinopteri; Centrarchiformes; Centrarchidae
Exons: 3
Source: RefSeq, a predicted model, not a curated record
UCACAUGUAAGACAUUAAUAAUAAUUGAUAAAACCUUUGUGUUUGCUCUAUUUGUGUCUUGAAUCUGAGACCUUCCCCUCCAGCAAAGCCUGCGAGGCAAAUAUUUGCAUUUUUGGAAUUUCUUGAAGGACGUGGAUGAGUCUGUUUACCUUCAGGCUCAUUAGAACCAGCUUGCCUGGUGGAAGCCAAGAUGGAAGUUGAAUUUUGAUUUUUUCUCUCCACCAUAGAGACAGAUUCUGAGACUUAUGUUGCUGCCAGAUGUGAGCACAGUCUUUCACAAACUGGAUGCACUGCAUCUGGAUUUAAGCAGACAGAGUUAAACAGAUUACAUUAUUGUUUACAAUAUUCACAUACAACUAGUGAGUGAUUUCUUUUUGGACCCUAUUUUCCUAAAACUGAACUGGGCAGAUUCUUAAGAUCGUUUAGACAGACAGACACACCUGUCUGUCUGGUAUAUAAGCCAGAGUCACAACAGGGACAUCAUAAACAGUAACUUCACUGUUACACAUUACUGUUUCUGACUUUAAGAGCAGAGGUAAGUUAUUAUUUAAAAUCUCUUUUCAGCUUUUACUAACAAUUAAAAACGGAUAAUUGAUUUUUAUCAUAAAACGAAAAGCAGAGGAUUGCACUAAGCCUGAGUUUUCUUUUUCAGAAAAUGAAAGCUCCGAUUGUGUUCCUCCUCUUUGCUCUCAUGGUUGGGCUUAAUGCAAUGCCAACUGAUACUGCUGGGGACCGAAAAGUUAUUCCAGGGGAUUUGGCCCUAAAAAUGUUGGAGCCUGAUUUCUUCAACUUCCCUGUUACAAAAGGCAGUCCAAUCUCAGCGAGAAAGAAAGGACAAACUUAAGAAAAGAUGUCCAUGAGUGUGAAGGGAAACAGCUUUGAAAACCUCCCUCUAAAUCUGGCCCACGGUGUUUGAGCCAAAAUAUGUUGAAUAAAUAAACACAACAAUGAAA